ACGCUCGACACCUACGGGAGGCAGCAGUGGGGAAUAUUGCACAAUGGGGGAAACCCUGAUGCAGCGACGCCGCGUGAGCGAAGAAGUAUUUCGGUAUGUAAAGCUCUAUCAGCAGGGAAGAAACUGACGGUACCUGACUAAGAAGCACCGGCUAAAUACGUGCCAGCAGCCUCGGUAAUCUGAGCGGGCUGGCAAGGC
This 198-nucleotide ribosomal RNA is filed under the name uncultured bacterium. RNAcentral's name for it is "partial 16S ribosomal RNA". It matches the Rfam family "Bacterial small subunit ribosomal RNA", at positions 328 to 539 of the family's 1533-position model. The record is from RNAcentral.